UUACAUUUCUGGCAUGGGAAACACUAUAAUCAUGAAAGCGAUUUUUCCCAGGACAAGGCUUAUUCAUUUCAUUUCGGAUAUGGUCCCCACUGUGAUCUCCCCGAAUGUGGGAAACUCCACUGUGUAAUUAAUGGUAGAAGAGGACUGCAUUCAUGCUCUCCCCAG
Sorex araneus (European shrew) is the source of this 165-nucleotide small nuclear RNA. RefSeq annotates it as U1 spliceosomal RNA. The transcript has a single exon. Lineage: Eukaryota; Metazoa; Chordata; Mammalia; Eulipotyphla; Soricidae. The record is from RefSeq and is a predicted model, not a curated record.